RNAcentral lists this ribosomal RNA (484 nucleotides) under uncultured bacterium. RNAcentral's name for it is "SSU rRNA". It matches the Rfam family "Bacterial small subunit ribosomal RNA", at positions 26 to 521 of the family's 1533-position model. The record is from RNAcentral.
AGAUUGAACGCUGGCGGCAUGCCUUACACAUGCAAGUCGAACGGUAACAGGUUAAGCUGACGAGUGGCGAACGGGUGAGUAAUAUAUCGGAACGUGCCCAGUAGUGGGGGAUAGCCCGGCGAAAGCCGGAUUAAUACCGCAUACGACCUACGGGUGAAAGCGGGGGAUCGCAAGACCUCGCGCUAUUGGAGCGGCCGAUAUCAGAUUAGCUUGUUGGUGGGGUAAAAGCCCACCAAGGCGACGAUCUGUAGCUAGUCUGAGAGGACGACCAGCCACACUGGGACUGAGACACGGCCCAGACUCCUACGGGAGGCAGCAGUGGGGAAUUUUGGACAAUGGACGCAAGUCUGAUCCAGCCAUGCCGCGUGCGGGAAGAAGGCCUCGGUUGUAACGCUUUGUCAGGAGAAAGCUUUGACUAAUACUUUGAGGCGAUGACGGUACCUGAAGAAUAAGCACCGGCUAACUACGUGCCAGCAGCCGCGGU